Molecule: non-coding RNA, 30 nt
Filed under: Mus musculus (house mouse)
Lineage: Eukaryota; Metazoa; Chordata; Mammalia; Rodentia; Muridae
Also listed under: 1 other name
Source: RNAcentral
UGAAAGGACAUGUGAUAAAGGAUUCUUUGC